AGGGCACCACCAGGGGUGGAGCCUGCGGCUUAAUUUGACUCAACACGGGAAAUCUCACCAGGCCCGGACACCGGUAGGAUUGACAGAUUGAUAGCUCUUUCUCGAUUUUGUGGGUGGUGGUGCAUGGCCGUUCUUAGUUGGUGGAGCGAUUUGUCUGGUUAAUUCCGAUAACGAACGAGACUCUAGCCUAAUUAAAUAGACGCAAUAUUUUGUUUGUAUUACGUCCUUCUUAGAAGGGACAAGGAAGCUCCUAGCUGCCACGAGAAUUGAGGCAAUAACAGGUCUGUGAUGGCCCUUAGAUGUCUGGGGCGCAACGCGCGGCUCAAAUGGAAGGUAGGAAAAUGCUUAAGAAUCCCGUGUCGAAAAGAGACUGGGUAAUACGAAUUAUUUUCUGCCUUGGAUAAGGAAUUCAAUUAAUUCCCUUGAACGGGAAUUCUCAGAAAGUGGGUCACAGCUCACGUUGAUACGUCCUCGCCUUUGACAAGGCGCGUCUCCCGUUGAGGGUGCGGAAAUGAGCGU
This 519-nucleotide ribosomal RNA is filed under the name uncultured eukaryote. RNAcentral's name for it is "bacterial SSU rRNA". It matches the Rfam family "Eukaryotic small subunit ribosomal RNA", at positions 1161 to 1660 of the family's 1831-position model. The record is from RNAcentral.